This 600-nucleotide long non-coding RNA is filed under the name Vitis vinifera (wine grape). Its description in RNAcentral is "long non-coding RNA (VVIN_LNC000372)". Lineage: Eukaryota; Viridiplantae; Streptophyta; Magnoliopsida; Vitales; Vitaceae. The record is from RNAcentral.
AAGGGAGGUUGUUGAUCUUGGAAGCUAAGGGAAAUGAGGGAUUUGCUUGAUGCUAAACACAUAUUGCUUGAGUGGAGAUUACCCAGGUAUGGUUACUAUGUCUUCAAUGUUUCCAUUAAAUCCUUGUUCUUCUCUGUUUAUCUUCUCUUCGCUGCCCUUUGUUGCGCAUGCAUUCAUUUUUUGUGGGGAUCUCCUAUUAGAGGAGGGAGAAGAGAGGGGAAGAAAAAGAAAAGAAUCGGAGAAGGGAGGUUGUUGAUCUUGGAAGCUAAGGGAAAUGAGGGAUUUGCUUGAAGCUAAGCACAUAUUGCUUGAGUGGAGAUUACCCAUGGUUACUAUGCUUUCAAUGUUUCCAUUAAAACCUUGUUCUUCUCUGUUUAUCUUCUCUUCAUUGCCCUUUGUUGGGCAUGCAUUGAUUUUUACUGGGGAUCUCCUAUUAGAGGAGGGAGAAGGGAGGGGAAGAAAAAGAAAAGAAUCAGAGAAGGGAGGUUGUUGAUCUUGGAAGCUAAGGGAAACGAGGGAUUUGCUUGAUGCUAAGCACAUAUUGCUUGAGUGGAGAUUACCCAGGUAUGGUUACUAUGUUUUCAAUGUUUCCAUUAAAAC